Meriones unguiculatus (Mongolian gerbil) is the source of this 2141-nucleotide long non-coding RNA. RefSeq lists it as uncharacterized. NCBI's taxonomy places the organism in Eukaryota, Metazoa, Chordata, Mammalia, Rodentia, Muridae. The record is from RefSeq and is a predicted model, not a curated record. The transcript has 3 exons.
CUCCUGAUACAGCGGUAUCUCUAACAGGCAAAAGCACUCAGCGCAGUGAUUGCAAAGAGCUGGCUCGCUCAAGCACUCACAAGGAACUCGCUGCGGCUAAUCAAAUGUCAAAACAACCUCGCAGGUGAUUUAGAGGAGCUUGGUGACAGGAAGACACUGACCACCAAGCCACUGAGAACAGACCACGUGAAGUCGGCGGAAAGCAGGGAAGCCAGUUUCCGUCAAGGGAGGUUCCAGGAGGCAGAGGUUCCUGGUGGCAGAGGUGGCAGAGGCUGUCUCUUGGAUCAACUGCUCCCUGGUUAGUGGCACUUGGCUUUUAAAAUUUUUCCUCUUUUCCAUUGAAGGCCAGAAGGUCAAAGGUCAAAGGGUAGUGGGGAGUUUUUUGGGUUUUUUGUUUUGUUUUGUUUUUUUAUGACAAAAUGUUGCAAGGCCUUUGGAUCAUAGCAGCAACACCGUGGUGAGGGGGAGAGAAGACAUUUCAGCCUUGGACUUGGGCAAGUUGAAGCCACUCUGAACUUGUUCCCUCUCCUGGAAGAGGAGUGAACUGGGUUAAAUGGUCCCGAGGUCCUUGAAGCGGUAGGGUGAUUCAACAUCCUCCUGUACUCGACAGUUUAAAGAACACUUCCAUGCUUGCUACUUCAUUUGAUGUUCACCGUAACCCCAACAUGGAGCCAGGAGAGGGGUAAUUAUCUCCAUUUUAUAGCGCUGAGAUGAACCGAUCUUGGGCACCUUCAUCUCCAUCCAGGAGCUUUGUUCAAGCCAGGAGCUCACUGCCUGCCUACCUCAAGAUCUGCAGAGAGGGAUGUGAAAGGCCUCCUCCAGCUCGCACUACAAGGUAGUUUGUUCUCCUGGCACACAUAGAAAGGUGUCCCACUGCCCUGCGGUCUUUGGUCCCACAGGGGCAAGAGAACCUAUAAUUUGGGCACAGAAGAGAGUCUCUGGAAAGACGAGGACACACUGGAGUCAGCAGGCACUACAGGAUUAGCACCUGCUGCCCGCCUCUGGCCUUGCAAAAUGCUUACUGCAGUCUCCUGGGGGCUGCUGUUCAUGGCGGAGUCCUUCUAGUACUCAUGAUUCUAGCACUCAAGGACCACAGCAGCCUAGGCUCCCCAAAGCUCCUUAAGUUCCCGAGAGGUGCCACUACUCCAUCCAAUCUCAGGCUUUAGGGUCUGUGUUCCAGUGUUCCAGGAGGCUGGAGUUUCUUUUUGGGCACACAUUCAGGCCCAGGCUGGGACUUAACCACCUUGUGCUCCCUGGCUGGACCUGGGGGAGCCACCUGAUCCAGAGAAGACUCCCUACCGAGAAUUCCAGGCCUAGUUAUGGAGAACCCAAUGCACACAGGUUCUCUACUGGCCUGGGAACCACUCAGAAGGCUCGGCUAACCAACCAGCAAACUCCACAGAUCUACUUGUGUCUACAUCAGAGCUGGGGUUGCAGGCAUGUGCCAUCACUCCUCGCUAUGUGUGUUGUGUGCAUGGGGGGUGGAGGGGCAGUGCUUGCAGAGGCCAGAUGACAAAAACAAAACAACAAUAAAAGGCUUCCCACCCCCUGAAGCUGGAGUUACAGAUGGUGUGCGUUGGGAAGAGAACCCUGGACCCUUGCAGAGGCAGCAGCACCGGGAGAGCUCCCAGCCCCUUACACCUUGCCUUUUUAGAUGUGUUCUGAAGAGCAGGCACAGGUCCUCAGGAAUUUGAAGCAAGAGCUUGUACUGAUUAAGCUCCCUUCACCCAGGACCCUAGAUGAUGCUUUCCAUUACUGGAGAAAUAUGCUGCCCUCAAACUUACCUACAUCCUGGCGUCAUGGGGAGAACCACGGUAAACCCUCAGGCCUCAGUCCGUCAUCAGAGACUCCAGGUUAAGUGGCCUGAGGUUGGCAUGGUCAUCGGGGUCUUUAGAGCUCGAGACGAUUCGAAUGUGCAGUCUGGGCCGAGAACCACCCUCCUUGAAGCCACUGUAACUCAACCCAACCCAGAAACAGAUGUGGAGGGUCCAACCCAAGUUGCUGAGAAGCUGCCAAACCACUGUCUGGGUGCCCAGGGUCUGAAGGCAGUGCCACAUGCUUAGGAGAGCCUUCUGUCAACGUGGUUAAUGUCUUUUAAGCUUUGGCUCUUAGGGGAAUAAAGUUCAGUUAUCUGGAAAACU